AUUUUUAUCGUGUGUGGCGACUAAAUCAUGCCCAUAUUAAUAAGCACGUGCUGAAAUUGGGAGAUGCAUGCACUUUCUUCCUUUCAAAUGAGGGAUAUAUAAAUAAAAGUCCACAUGUUCACAAGAUUCCUUUUUUUUUUUUUUGUCCCAAAUAUUUAACUUAUAAUUGAGUCUGUCGACUAUUAAUACUUUAUUAUCUGGCAAGAAACUACAUAUUACGUACGUUUUUUUUAUAGUAGAAAAUAAGUGGAUGACUCAAAAAAAAAAAAUCACAAUAGCUUUUUCCUUUUUCUACUUGCUCACAAUUUUCUUCAAAUUUUUUAGUUAUAUAUAUAUAUAAUAAACACAAAUUAGAAAGUGUAGAUUUUAGAGUGUUGCUGCUUUUGGGAAGAUCAUCCUUCUAUUAUUAUUAUAUAAAAUAAUGUUUUAACAGAAACUCGUAAAAAAUAUUUCCGUAGACAAUGCCAAAAAAAAACAAAACAAAACAAAAAUAUACAAAAAUAUUUAUUAUUAAAAUAAAAAAAUCCCUCAAUCGCUUUCCCUUUAGCAAGUUGAGCCAUUAUUAUAUAGAAUACUAUACCAACUACUAGAUUUGCUGGGUUUUUUUUAAUAAUUAUGUACCAAUCUAAAAUAUUAUUGAUACUAAAGUAGGGACAUUGAAUAGCAUGCAUGUCUAGAUUUUCUUGGUCGCGAGGAAGAAAAGAAAUGAAAAAAAAAAAAAAACAGUUUUUGACCUACAAAUUUUAAAUGUUAACAAAAAUAAUUGGGUAUACCUUUGACCCUAGCUAGCUAGCAGCAGACUUAUUAGCCGAAGGCUCGAGCACAAAAAAUAAAACAAAUAAAAAGAG
Molecule: long non-coding RNA, 848 nt
Filed under: Capsella rubella
Lineage: Eukaryota; Viridiplantae; Streptophyta; Magnoliopsida; Brassicales; Brassicaceae
Description: long non-coding RNA (CRUB_LNC004583)
Source: RNAcentral